This 749-nucleotide unclassified non-coding RNA is filed under the name Hevea brasiliensis (rubber tree). Lineage: Eukaryota; Viridiplantae; Streptophyta; Magnoliopsida; Malpighiales; Euphorbiaceae. The record is from RNAcentral.
ACAUAACAUGGGUAAGCACAUGUGCAUUUAUCUAAAUCUUCCCAAUUUAAAUGUGCUGUUUAUCUUUCUUGCUUUAUGCUGUGUUUGUGCUUCAAUUCUUUUCAUGUUCUCUGGUUCUCCAUUCUGAUUAUUUGUUUCUUUAAGGAAGACUUCUGAUAUGAUUCCAGCAAGAAAGAAUUCAAAAGUUGAUUUGGCUGAAUAAAAAUAGUCAAUUGCAAAACCAGAGGAAUCAUUCGAGUAAAAGAACAACACAAUUUUAGAGCUAGCCACUACUUAGCUGAGUCAAACUAGUGGUUACACAUAUUUUGAGGGAUUUUAAUGGAUAAAAGGUCAAUUUGCUCCCUGAUCUUGGCAGCCAUGUGCCAUCAAAAACCCAAAACGCAAAAGUUGGGUCAAUUUGCUCCAAAUUCUGGUAUUUACACAACACGCAUUGCAAAACAAUUAAAAAAAAUAUUUUAGCAUUUUACAAUUUGCUAUCUAAAGUUUAUGAAAAAUCUACAAAUUCCUCUCUCUCACGGUUUCUCUAUUUUUUCUCCAUUACCCAUCCCAUCAAAACUGAAGACAAAACUCACUUGAAAAUUAAAAUAAAAAAAUACUAUUAAUUUAUUUUUGUCUCUAUCAAUAUCAUCUUGAAAUUAAAAAUCAAAUGUUCAAUAAAUGCACCAAAUAUUCAAUAAUUCCGACAAUGAAAACAUUUUUCUAAAAAUAUUCUUUUAAUGUGUUUUCUAAUUCUUCAAAAAAAAAAAAAA